RNAcentral lists this ribosomal RNA (107 nucleotides) under Burkholderiales bacterium. The record is from RNAcentral. Lineage: Bacteria; Pseudomonadati; Pseudomonadota; Betaproteobacteria; Burkholderiales.
UGACGACCAUAGCGCUGCGGAACCACCCCUUCCCAUCCCGAACAGGACCGUGAAACGCAGCCGCGCCGAUGAUAGUGUGGCAACCCAUGCGAAAGUAGGUCAUCGUC